This 484-nucleotide ribosomal RNA is filed under the name uncultured bacterium. RNAcentral's name for it is "partial 16S ribosomal RNA". It matches the Rfam family "Bacterial small subunit ribosomal RNA", at positions 30 to 507 of the family's 1533-position model. The record is from RNAcentral.
AUUGAACGCUGGCGGCAGGCCUAACACAUGCAAGUCGAGCGGAUGAAGGGAGCUUGCUCCUGGAUUCAGCGGCGGACGGGUGAGUAAUGCCUAGGAAUCUGCCUGGUAGUGGGGGAUAACGUCCGGAAACGGGCGCUAAUACCGCAUACGUCCUGAGGGAGAAAGUGGGGGAUCUUCGGACCUCACGCUAUCAGAUGAGCCUAGGUCGGAUUAGCUAGUUGGUGGGGUAAAGGCCUACCAAGGCGACGAUCCGUAACUGGUCUGAGAGGAUGAUCAGUCACACUGGAACGGAGAACCGGUCCAGCCCCCUCGGGGAGGAAGCAGUGGGGAAUUUUGGACAAGGGGCGAAAGCCGGAUCCAGCCAUGCCGCGUGUGUGAAGAAGGUCUUCGGAUUGAAAAGCACUUUAAGUUGGGGGGGGGGGCAUAAAUUUAAUACCUUGCUGUUUUGACUUACCAAAAAAAAUAAGCACCGGCAACCUUCGUC